Molecule: ribosomal RNA, 497 nt
Filed under: uncultured bacterium
Lineage: Bacteria
Description: partial 16S ribosomal RNA
Rfam family: Bacterial small subunit ribosomal RNA
Source: RNAcentral
GAUGAACGCUGGCGGCGUGCCUAAUACAUGCAAGUCGAGCGAACAGACGAGGAUUUCGCUCCUCUGACGUUAGCGGCGGAUGGGUGAGUAGCACGUGGAUAACCUAUCUAUAAGACUGGGAUAACUUAUGGAAACCGGAACCAAUACCUGAUAAUAUAUAGAACUGCAUGGUUCAAUAGUGGAAGGCGGUUUUGCUGUUACUGAUAGAUGGUUCCGCGGCGCAUUAGCUGGUUGGUGAGGUGACGGUUGACCAAGGCAACGAUGCGUAGCCGACCUGAGAGGGUGAUCGGCCACAGUCGAACUGAGACACGGUCCCGACCCCUACGGGAAGCAGCAGUAGGGAAUCUUCCGCAAUGGGCGAAAGCCUGAGGGUGCAGCGCCGCGGGAGUGAUGAAGGUCUUCGGAUCGUAGAACUCUGUUAUUAGGGAAGACGAAAUGUGUAAGUAGCUGUGCACGUCUUGACGGUACCUAAAGAGAAAGCCACGGCUAACUACGUG